Equus quagga is the source of this 220-nucleotide long non-coding RNA. RefSeq lists it as uncharacterized. The record is from RefSeq and is a predicted model, not a curated record. The transcript is spliced from 3 exons. Lineage: Eukaryota; Metazoa; Chordata; Mammalia; Perissodactyla; Equidae.
CCUCCCUGGUGACGUUCUUCCGUUCCCUGGAGCUGCUGGACGGUACGAUGGAGGAUUAUGUGGAGGGCAAUGUGCUCAACUGUCGGAAAUGGAAUGAACAAUUCAAACUGAUGGAGGAGAUCAAGCUGCUCCAGGAGGCUGCAAAUCUGUACACCGUGCAGCCCGACGAGCAAUUUGGGGCCUGGUUCCAGGCCGUGGAGCCCCUGAGCAAGGAGGAGAG